Canis lupus familiaris (dog) is the source of this 1047-nucleotide long non-coding RNA. RefSeq lists it as uncharacterized. The transcript has 3 exons. Lineage: Eukaryota; Metazoa; Chordata; Mammalia; Carnivora; Canidae. The record is from RefSeq and is a predicted model, not a curated record.
UCCUAAAAUCCUGAUUCCUAAUGCCCACACUGUAGAGCUCCUCUGUAGCCCCGACUCAGGCCUCAGUAUCUUUUUGCUGCUCCACAGAACCUCGGUGUCCAGUAAGGCAGGUGGUGCUCAUCUGCGUUGUAACCUAUGUGAAUGAGGCCUCCUCUAAGCAACAUGAGUCUACACACCCUGUACAGCUGUACACAGCAGGCCUGCCUGUGGGCAUUUCCUAACUCUACAAAGGAAAUAUCCUGAAAACCUUGUUGUGGACCUUAGUGAGACUAGAUGUUCUCCCUUCAGAAAUCCUGACACUUUCUCUGCUCCUGUCCCGGAGGAACGCUGCUCUGAGUUCAUCCUGUGAGGAAGCUAACUAGUGGACAAGGAGCAGCGCUGUAGAAGAGAUCCAGGAAUCCCAGCCGACUGCACCAACUCCAGACUUUGAGUGUAUCUUGGAUAUUUCAGGUAAUGAUGUACCUUGCGUAUUAGACUCUCGGGUUUUUUUAAACACCACCUUUCUCUCCUCUAUAACAGAAUUACUUUCAAUAGAAAUGAAUAAAUUAUAAUUUUAUUGAUAGUAGUUUUAAAACAAGCAAUUGGAAAUUAAAACUAUGCAUAUCAAAUCCAAAGAUAAUCAAAUAGAGCAAAAUAUUUUGUGUAUGGAUUAAAAAUUGUGUCUCCCAAACAAAAAUAUUAUACCUGACACUUCUUACUUUGCCUCACCUUCAACAAACUUGUGUAUAAAUAAAAUCUCCAAGAGGUCAGUGGACAAUGAUUGUAAAAAACAAGGAAACAGAACUUGAUAUCACUGUUAAUUUCAAACCUUAAAAGAGUAUGCAGUACACAGGGUUGGAGAAUACAAACUGCAUACAAGGAAGCCUUGAAAAAUAAUUCCUAAAUCAUGAACUUAUUCUUAAACAUGUGUAGAUGACACUGUGUAAGUUGAGGCACCAGUUGUAGUGAAUUCUCCAAAUUAACUUCCCAGUAGAAUGCAAUGUUUAUUAAAGGAUAAGUAAUAAAAUAGACUAAUUUGAAUCUUGUGUGCAUAUUAUUAAAACUCAA